This 305-nucleotide ribosomal RNA is filed under the name uncultured bacterium. RNAcentral's name for it is "bacterial SSU rRNA". It matches the Rfam family "Bacterial small subunit ribosomal RNA", at positions 335 to 657 of the family's 1533-position model. The record is from RNAcentral.
GUGCCUACGGGACGCAGCAGUCGGGAAUAUUGCGCAAUGGAGGAAACUCUGACGCAGUGACGCCGCGUAUAGGAAGAAGGUUUUCGGAUUGUAAACUAUUGUCGUUAGGGAAGAUAAAAGACUGUACCUAAGGAGGAAGCCCCGGCUAACUAUGUGCCAGCAGCCGCGGUAAUACAUAGGGGGCAAGCGUUAUCCGGAUUUAUUGGGUUUAAAGGGUGCGUAGGCGGAAGGUUAAGUCAGCGGUCAAAUGUCGGUGCUCAACACCGGCCUGCCGUUGAAACUGGUCUUCUUGAGUGAGCGAGAAG